AAAUCCCAAACCCUCCUAAUUCCUCCUCCUUCACGUGAAACCAACCUCCUCCCUCUCCUCCUUGCAGCCCCCUCUCCGCCUGCGUCAACCACCAUCAACAGCCGCCGCCGCGACCACCCUUCCACCUGCACGCCGCCGUCGCCACCACCGCGCGCACCACCGCCCCAUUGCCGCGCGCACCACCGCCCCAUUGCCGCCGCGCCGCCGCGCCGCUGAACCACCUCCGGCCAGCCUUCUUUCCUUCUCUCUUUUGGCGGAGAAUUCUUUGUGGGCGACUUUUGAAAGUGUUAAAGUGGCCUAUCAGUUUGUUUACACAAGUCUCUAAGGACCAAUAAGCGUUGCCCAUCUACAGGUUUGAAGAUGAUGCAUCAUUGGGAUCGGGAUUAGAGAGCUUGUAGUUCUAUUCGUUUAAUUAAGUGAUUUAAUUUGUUAACUUGGAUUUGAAAUUUGUCGUACUAUUCGUAUUUCCUUAAUUCAGUUAAUUGGUUUGGACCUAAUAUGUAAUAGAUUAUUUAUGAACCUAAAAGUUAGUUUUAUGUUUUCCGCUGCAAAAUUCUGAAUAAGCCGUA
Spinacia oleracea (spinach) is the source of this 569-nucleotide long non-coding RNA. RefSeq lists it as uncharacterized. The record is from RefSeq and is a predicted model, not a curated record. The transcript is spliced from 4 exons. Lineage: Eukaryota; Viridiplantae; Streptophyta; Magnoliopsida; Caryophyllales; Amaranthaceae.